RNAcentral lists this ribosomal RNA (301 nucleotides) under uncultured bacterium. RNAcentral's name for it is "partial 16S ribosomal RNA". It matches the Rfam family "Bacterial small subunit ribosomal RNA", at positions 509 to 807 of the family's 1533-position model. The record is from RNAcentral.
CAGUAGCCGCGGGAAUACGUAGGGCGCAAGCGUUAUCCGGAAUUAUUGGGCGUAAAGAGCUCGUAGGCGGUUUGUCGCGUCUGCCGUGAAAGUCCGGGGCUCAACCCCGGAUCUGCGGUGGGUACGGGCAGACUAGAGUGAUGUAGGGGAGACUGGAAUUCCUGGUGUAGCGGUGAAAUGCGCAGAUAUCAGGAGGAACACCGAUGGCGAAGGCAGGUCUCUGGGCAUUAACUGACGCUGAGGAGCGAAAGCAUGGGGAGCGAACAGGAUUAGAUACCCCUGUAGUCCCUGUCUCUUAUAC